UGAGUGUUUGCUGAAGAAAGAUGGGGACAGAAAAGUGACUGCUGGGUUUGGUGUGACAGAAGUUGAUUGAAGUUCUCUGUGAAAUUGCCUGAAUUUGGUGUUUCUUAAAAGGCUCAAGUGAUCCUCCUGCUUCAGCCUCCUGAGUAGCUGGGACU
Long non-coding RNA from Microcebus murinus (gray mouse lemur), 155 nucleotides. RefSeq lists it as uncharacterized. The record is from RefSeq and is a predicted model, not a curated record. Lineage: Eukaryota; Metazoa; Chordata; Mammalia; Primates; Cheirogaleidae.